RNAcentral lists this ribosomal RNA (207 nucleotides) under uncultured bacterium. Its description in RNAcentral is "partial 16S ribosomal RNA". It matches the Rfam family "Bacterial small subunit ribosomal RNA", at positions 568 to 774 of the family's 1533-position model. The record is from RNAcentral.
CUCGUAGGUGGUUUGUCGCGUUGUUCGUGAAAACUCACAGCUUAACUGUGGGCGUGCGGGCGAUACGGGCAGACUGGAGUACUGCAGGGGAGACUGGAAUUCCUGGUGUAGCGGUGGAAUGCGCAGAUAUCAGGAGGAACACCGGUGGCGAAGGCGGGUCUCUGGGCAGUAACUGACGCUGAGGAGCGAAAGCGUGGGGAGCGGACA